This 402-nucleotide ribosomal RNA is filed under the name uncultured bacterium. RNAcentral's name for it is "bacterial SSU rRNA". It matches the Rfam family "Bacterial small subunit ribosomal RNA", at positions 28 to 414 of the family's 1533-position model. The record is from RNAcentral.
GACGAACGCUGGCGGCGUGCCUAACACAUGCAAGUCGUGCGAGAAAGUUCCUUCGGGAGCGAGUAAAGCGGCGCACGGGUGAGUAACACGUAGGUAACCUGCCCCCCAGUCUGGAACAACUAGAGGAAACUCUAGCUAAUGCCGGAUGAGACCACGAUCCCUUCGGGGGUUGCGGCCAAAGAUGGCCUCUACUUGUAAGCUAUCGCUGAGGGAUGGGCCUGCGGGCCAUUAGCUUGUUGGUGAGGUAACGGCUCACCAAGGCUGUGAUGGCUAGCUGGUCUGAGAGGAUGACCAGCCACACUGGGACUGAGACACGGCCCAGACUCCUACGGGAGGCAGCAGUGGGGAAUAUUGCGCAAUGGGCGAAAGCCUGACGCAGCGACGCCGCGUGGGUGAUGAAGG